Long non-coding RNA from Cucurbita moschata (crookneck pumpkin), 552 nucleotides. RefSeq lists it as uncharacterized. NCBI's taxonomy places the organism in Eukaryota, Viridiplantae, Streptophyta, Magnoliopsida, Cucurbitales, Cucurbitaceae. The record is from RefSeq and is a predicted model, not a curated record. The transcript is spliced from 2 exons.
UAUGGGGCUUGAAGGAGCUGCUUUGGCAGCUUCUAUUUAAUCGUAGAUGGUUUUCUUGGUUGUGGUCGUUCACAUGCUUAAGUCUCAUAAAUGUAAGCUCACAUGGAAAGGAUUCUCUUUGAAGCUUUUCUGCAAUGUAUUAUUCUGAUUCACUUCGACGUCCAACUUUAUUUGGACUCAAAUCUUCCUAUAUUGUGAUAACUUUAUUUGAAAUUUUAAAUGCAUCAUCACCUACUUUAGUUGAUGUAGGUGGACAAGAGCUUGGAGGAAUUCAUUACGUCACAUUAUUUGUCGAAGUAAGAAUCUUGCUUAUCGAUGUAACCUAUAACCUGUAUAGCAACUGUAAGAGAAAUGGAAGGUGAUAGAAGACUUACAAUACAAAGGCAUGAAGCAGUCCCAGACAAUCGAGCAUCGAUCCAAAUAACUGAAUACUCAUUUUGUAUUGUUUGAAGAACUUUUUUAUUAUACAAAAUUACUUAAUACUCAUUUUGUAAUGUAAAUAGAUGAUGAAGUUUCAAUUGUGAAUGGAAAUUACAGUAUUUCACUUGCAAU